Molecule: long non-coding RNA, 382 nt
Filed under: Amborella trichopoda
Lineage: Eukaryota; Viridiplantae; Streptophyta; Magnoliopsida; Amborellales; Amborellaceae
Description: long non-coding RNA (ATRI_LNC001775)
Source: RNAcentral
AAAAUUAAUGGAUCUUCAUCUAUUGCAAAACUCUAAUUCUUCUUUCUUUCUUUUUUUAGUAAAAUGAUAUAUGAAGAAACAGAGAGAUCAUGAAAUGUAAAAAACCAGAAAACGAUCUCACUAUUUCAGCAGCUUAAUGACUGCUCUAUCUUCACUUGCGUUCCUGGCCCUCACUAAACGGUUCAAGAUCUUCAGAUACCGAGCUGCUUUGGUCCCCCAUCCCCUUCUUUCUCUAGGCCCAACAGCAUCAUCCCCAUGCUUGGCUAGAGAUAGAUUACAGGUCUCCUCUUCUUCUGUCAUAAGACGCCUGAGGGAACCACGCUCAUUAGAAACACGAGGAUCGGUCUCUGCCUCCAAAAGCGCACUCAGAGGCUUUCCUUUC